UGCCAGGAGACCUUAGAAAAUGGCUCACCUAU
This 32-nucleotide non-coding RNA is filed under the name Rattus norvegicus (Norway rat). Lineage: Eukaryota; Metazoa; Chordata; Mammalia; Rodentia; Muridae. The record is from RNAcentral.